CGCAAGAUAAACUAUAUUGUUUAAGGAUACAAAGUUAGUUGAUAACACCACAGGGAGAGCAAGGAGGUGAACACUUAUAAAGUGAAGGGAGCUCUGGGGCAGGGAGAAGACUGUCUCGGGAGGGGGCAGGCUCCCUUUCUUGAAAUGGCUGGUGAUUCCACAGGACUGACUCAGGGACUCGGAAGAUAAAAAAUCGAAAUCAACACUCUUCAAGAACUCCAGUUGCUCUUGAAGGAGUGAGAAAUCACUGGACAAUUAGCAGUCUCAAAAAAAUGAGGCCCAGUGAUCACAAAGCACCUGUCUCACACUGAAGACCAGUUCUCCUCUCUUCAUCCACCUCUUGCUGUCUUUGAAACAGAGGAUCAACAAAUGGUGGGACUGUAACCUACAAGAGAAAUGAGACUCUUUGAGUACCAGAGUGCAGUCUGUAUUAAGCUUUUAAAAUGUGUCCCACAUAAAGAUGGGAACAAUAGACCCUGAGGACUACAAGAGUGGGAAGGGCAGGAGGGGGCGAGGGUUGAAAAACGACCUAUUCGGGACUCUGCUUACUACCAGGGUGACAGAUUCAAUUGCACCCCAACCUCAGCACCCCAACCUCGUACCCCAAUAUACCCGUGUAACAAACCUGUAUGUGUACCCCCGAAUCUAAAA
RNAcentral lists this long non-coding RNA (651 nucleotides) under Homo sapiens (human). RNAcentral describes it as "HSALNT0028830". The record is from RNAcentral. Lineage: Eukaryota; Metazoa; Chordata; Mammalia; Primates; Hominidae.